UACAGAGGGUGCGAGCGUUGUCCGGAAUCAUUGGGCGUAAAGCGCGCGUAGGUGGCCCGGUAAGUCCGCUGUAAAAGUCCAGGGCUCAACCCUGGAAAGCCGGUGGAUACUGUCGGGCUCGAGUCCGGAAGAGGCGAGUGGAAUUCCUGGUGUAGCGGUGGAAUGCGCAGAUAUCAGGAGGAACACCGAUGGCGAAGGCAGCUCGCUGGGACGGUACUGACACUGAGGCGCGAAAGCGUGGGGAGCAAACAGG
This 253-nucleotide ribosomal RNA is filed under the name uncultured bacterium. RNAcentral's name for it is "partial 16S ribosomal RNA". It matches the Rfam family "Bacterial small subunit ribosomal RNA", at positions 524 to 776 of the family's 1533-position model. The record is from RNAcentral.